UCACUGGUCGAGUCGGCCUGCGCGGAAGAUGUAACGGGGCUAAACCAUGCACCGAAGCUGCGGCAGCGACACUAUGUGUUGUUGGGUAGGGGAGCGUUCUGUAAGCCUGUGAAGGUGGCCUGUGAGGUAUGCUGGAGGUAUCAGAAGUGCGAAUGCUGACAUAAGUAACGAUAAAGCGGGUGAAAAGCCCGCUCGCCGGAAGACCAAGGGUUCCUGUCCAACGUUAAUCGGGGCAGGGUGAGUCGA
Molecule: ribosomal RNA, 246 nt
Filed under: Escherichia coli
Lineage: Bacteria; Pseudomonadati; Pseudomonadota; Gammaproteobacteria; Enterobacterales; Enterobacteriaceae
Description: partial 23S ribosomal RNA
Rfam family: Bacterial large subunit ribosomal RNA
Source: RNAcentral